Molecule: non-coding RNA, 72 nt
Organism: Parelaphostrongylus tenuis
Lineage: Eukaryota; Metazoa; Nematoda; Chromadorea; Rhabditida; Metastrongylidae
Source: the annotation of a GenBank genome assembly
GGCUCUGUCUUGCAGUGGUAGCACACGCCCUUGGUAUAAGUGAGAUGCGGGUUCAACUCCCGCCUGCGGUCG